Molecule: microRNA precursor, 221 nt
Filed under: Arabidopsis suecica
Lineage: Eukaryota; Viridiplantae; Streptophyta; Magnoliopsida; Brassicales; Brassicaceae
Description: MIR854
Rfam family: MIR854 microRNA precursor family
Source: RNAcentral
CGGAUGAUAUAGAUGAGGCGGAGUUUGACACGAGCAUGUAUUAUUUCAGUGAGCAUAUACCUCCUGCGAGGGAAAGCAAGAGUUUGAGCGAAGCUCACAUGAACAACAGCAAGCUGCAGAAGUGGUGCAAGAAACAGGACAAGUUACUCGCCAAGUGCUUAAGAGCUAUCAAGUUUCUGAAGGACAAGCUCAGCUGCUCCUCGUCCACUACAGCUAUUCCG